GAAGAAUUAGUUAAAUCAUAACAUUAAUAUGUCAUAUUAAAAUUAUUAAAUUACUAAUAUCCUUCU
This 66-nucleotide transfer RNA is filed under the name Phyllomimus sinicus. RNAcentral describes it as "tRNA-Asp". The record is from RNAcentral. Lineage: Eukaryota; Metazoa; Arthropoda; Insecta; Orthoptera; Tettigoniidae.